AAUUUGGAGAGUUUGAUCCUGGCUCAGAAUGAACGCUGGCGGCGUGCCUCAUACAUGCAAGUCGUACGAGAAAUCAUUCCUUCGGGUAUGAGAGUAAAGUGGCGCACGGGUGAGUAACGCGUGGGUAACCUACCCUAAAGUCUGGGAUAACAUUCCGAAAGGGAUGCUAAUACCGGAUAAGACUACGAAAAUUUCGGUUUUUGUAGUAAAAGGUGGCCUCUGCAUGCAAGCUACCGCUUGAGGAUGGGCCCGCGUACUAUUAGCUAGUUGGUAGGGUAAUAGCCUACCAAGGCUACGAUAGUUAGCUGGUCUGAGAGGAUGAUCAGCCACACUGGAACUGGAACACGGUCCAGACUCCUACGGGAGGCAGCAGUAGGGAAUCUUGCGCAAUGGGGGAAACCCUGACGCAGCAACGCCGCGUGAGUGAUGAAGGUCUUCGGAUCGUAAAGCUUUGUCAAGCGGGAAGAAAUGUUUUAAGGUUAAUACCCUUAAAAUUUGACGGUACCGCUGAAGGAAGUACCGGCUAACUCCGUGCCAGCAGCCGCGGUGAUACGGAGGGUACAAGCGUUAUUCGGAAUUAUUGG
RNAcentral lists this ribosomal RNA (584 nucleotides) under Deltaproteobacteria bacterium. RNAcentral describes it as "bacterial SSU rRNA". It matches the Rfam family "Bacterial small subunit ribosomal RNA", at positions 1 to 557 of the family's 1533-position model. Lineage: Bacteria; Pseudomonadati; Myxococcota; Myxococcia. The record is from RNAcentral.